RNAcentral lists this unclassified non-coding RNA (1091 nucleotides) under Drosophila virilis. RNAcentral describes it as "GJ19697". Lineage: Eukaryota; Metazoa; Arthropoda; Insecta; Diptera; Drosophilidae. The record is from RNAcentral.
UAUUCCCAAUAUUGGUUUUAGAAAUUAAAAAUGAUAAAAGCUAUACUAGUAUUUAACAAUCAUGGGAAGCCUCGGUUAUCCAAAUUUUAUCAAUAUUUUGAUGAGAACCUUCAGCAACAAAUCAUUAAAGAGACGUUCCAAUUAGUUUCAAAGCGUGACGAUAACGUUUGCAAUUUUCUGGAAGGCGGCAGCUUGAUAGGCGGCUCAGAUUACAAGCUAAUAUACCGCCAUUAUGCAACACUGUACUUUGUAUUUUGUGUUGACUCCUCGGAGAGUGAGCUUGGUAUACUUGAUUUGAUACAAGUAUUCGUGGAAACCUUGGAUAAGUGUUUCGAAAAUGUGUGUGAACUGGAUUUAAUAUUUCAUGCUGAUGCCGUUCAUCAUAUUCUAUCAGAGCUGGUUAUGGGCGGAAUGGUACUGCAAACUAACAUGAACGAUAUAAUAACCAGGAUUGAAGACCAAAAUAGGUUGAUUAAACAGGAAUCAGGAAUAUCUGCAGCACCAGCUCGUGCUGUAAGCGUUGUAAAAAGCAUGAACAUUCCACAACAAAUUAAGGACAUGAAACUGCCAGACUUACCACAGGCUAUAAAGGACCUAAAAUUUUGAUAUGAUUAAUAAACACAUAUGGUCCGAUCUCCGCUACAACUGUUGUUAUCAAAUAGCCUUGGAUAUAGUAGACUUAUGGAACAUAAAACGCCUUGAUGUCGAGCCAGUUGGGGUGCGAGUGUGAAUUGAUGCUACCAGCUACCAGACCAGCCCAAUCGACUUUUUGACGUCGUUUCCAUUAUUUAAGAAAUGAAACACAAUUUUCCAUUUCGUAGUCUUCGAUAAAUUUUGCAAAUUAAAUUUAAAAUACUAAUUCAGUCAUAACCGCUCUGUUUGAAGGUUUUGUUGUUCAUUGGCAAGUAUGAUCAAGCAAAGACAAUAUUAACAAUAAGAUGAUACAAAAUUAUCCAAAGUCAUAAGGCUUUUCGCUCUUCAAGCAUUACGCCAACUAACUGGCUUUUCGCCCACCAAAGCUAGUCGAUGGCGAUAUGUGUCGUUACGUUUUUGAAGUUCUUUGAACAAAAAGUUUUGAGUCGAACGAAGCU